This 564-nucleotide ribosomal RNA is filed under the name Streptomyces sp. 340E07. RNAcentral's name for it is "bacterial SSU rRNA". It matches the Rfam family "Bacterial small subunit ribosomal RNA", at positions 93 to 671 of the family's 1533-position model. Lineage: Bacteria; Bacillati; Actinomycetota; Actinomycetes; Kitasatosporales; Streptomycetaceae. The record is from RNAcentral.
UAGUGGCGAACGGGUGAGUAACACGUGGGCAAUCUGCCCUUCACUNUGGGACAAGCCCUGGAAACGGGGUCUAAUACCGGAUAAUACUUUCUCCUGCAUGGGAGAGGGUUGAAAGCUCCGGCGGUGAAGGAUGAGCCCGCGGCCUAUCAGCUUGUUGGUGGGGUGAUGGCCUACCAAGGCGACGACGGGUAGCCGGCCUGAGAGGGCGACCGGCCACACUGGGACUGAGACACGGCCCAGACUCCUACGGGAGGCAGCAGUGGGGAAUAUUGCACAAUGGGCGGAAGCCUGAUGCAGCGACGCCGCGUGAGGGAUGACGGCCUUCGGGUUGUAAACCUCUUUCAGCAGGGAAGAAGCGUGAGUGACGGUACCUGCAGAAGAAGCGCCGGCUAACUACGUGCCAGCAGCCGCGGUAAUACGUAGGGCGCAAGCGUUGUCCGGAAUUAUUGGGCGUAAAGAGCUCGUAGGCGGCUUGUCGCGUCGGAUGUGAAAGCCCGGGGCUUAACCCCGGGUCUGCAUUCGAUACGGGCAGGCUAGAGUGUGGUAGGGGAGAUCGGAAUUCCU